GGGCAGGGCGCGGCUACCAUGCAGUCGGACGGUAGCACAGAGAGCUUGCUCUCGGGUGACGAGUGGCGGACGGGUGAGUAAUGUCUGGGAAACUGCCCGAUGGAGGGGGAUAACUACUGGAAACGGUAGCUAAUACCGCAUAACGUCGCAAGACCAAAGUGGGGGACCUUCGGGCCUCACACCAUCGGAUGUGCCCAGAUGGGAUUAGCUAGUAGGUGGGGUAAUGGCUGCAACAGUUAUUCUCCCAUGUCUGUUUUGCCUCAAGGAUUAACACAGGCCACACCUGAACUUGAGAAUACUGUUUCCACACCUCCUCUCACGGUAGUCAGACAGUGGGGAAUUACUUUGCACAAUAUUCGGGGCCAUAGCCCUGAUGCGAGACCAAUAACCGGUGAGUAUGUAAGGACAUGCUUUCGGGAUUUUUAACGCACACUUCUAGCCGAGCAAGGAAAGGGCGGUGAAGUCAAUAAACCUCCUCUGAUUUGACGUUAUCCCGCAGAAAGAAAACAGCCGGCUUAGUUCCAUGUUCAGCAGGCCGUCGAAAUAAGGAAGAGGGGUCAUCCGUUAAUUCAGAAAAAUUAAGCGUAAAGGCCCACGCCCGUGGGUCGGGCCCAGUUGGAAUUGAUAAUCCCCUGGAACCAACCCGGGGAAAUUCCUUUCGAAACUGGGAAGUAAAGAGUUUUUGUUGCGGGGGGGCACAAAUUCCAGGGGGUAGCGCUCAAAUUCGUAGUGAUUUGGGGGGAAGGACCUGCCGGGGAGAGCGGCCCCCCGUGAUAAACAACAGACGUUCCGGCGUGAGAGUUGGGGGUGCUCACGGGGGUCGCCUCCCCCGUCGUUCAUCCCCCCAAAAAACGACGACUUUAGGAGGUUCCCUCGAGGAGUAGCCCCCUCAGCCAAAAACGUAACAAGUCCGCCUCGAGAGGAGUACGCCCGCAAGGCCAAAACUCAAAAGAUUUGACGGGGGCCCGCACAAGCGGUGGAGCAUGUGGUUUAAUUUGAUGCAACGAGAAGAACCUUACCUACUCUUGACAUCCACGGAACUUGGCAGAGAUGCCUUGGUGCCUUCGGGAACCGUGAGACAGGUGCUGCAUGGCUGUCGUCAGCUCGUGUUGUGAAAUGUUGGGUUAAGUCCCGCAACGAGCGCAACCCUUAUCCUUUGUUGCCAGCGGGUAAUGCCGGGAACUCAAAGGAGACUGCCAGUGAUAAACUGGAGGAAGGUGGGGAUGACGUCAAGUCAUCAUGGCCCUUACGAGUAGGGCUACACACGUGCUACAAUGGCGCAUACAAAGAGAAGCGACCUCGCGAGAGCAAGCGGACCUCAUAAAGUGCGUCGUAGUCCGGAUCGGAGUCUGCAACUCGACUCCGUGAAGUCGGAAUCGCUAGUAAUCGUAGAUCAGAAUGCUACGGUGAAUACGUUCCCGGGCCUUGUACACACCGCCCGUCACACCAUGGGAGUGGGUUGCAAAAGAAGUAGGUAGCUUAACCUUCGGGAGGGCGCUUACCACUUUGAUUAUUUCCG
RNAcentral lists this ribosomal RNA (1519 nucleotides) under Pantoea sp. RNAcentral describes it as "partial 16S ribosomal RNA". It matches the Rfam family "Bacterial small subunit ribosomal RNA". The record is from RNAcentral. Lineage: Bacteria; Pseudomonadati; Pseudomonadota; Gammaproteobacteria; Enterobacterales; Erwiniaceae.